CCUAAGGCUAAAUACUCUCUAGUGACCGAUAGUGAACCAGUACCGUGAGGGAAAGGUGAAAAGCACCCCGGAAGGGGAGUGAAAUAGAACCUGAAACCGUGUGCUUACAAGUAGUCAGAGCCCGUUAAUGGGUGAUGGCGUGCCUUUUGUAGAAUGAACCGGCGAGUUACGAUUUGAUGCAAGGUUAAGCAGUAAAUGUGGAGCCGUAGCGAAAGCGAGUCUGAAUAGGGCGUUUAGUAUUUGGUCGUAGACCCGAAACCAGGUGAUCUACCCUUGGUCAGGUUGAAGUUCAGGUAACACUGAAUGGAGGACCGAACCGACUUACGUUGAAAAGUGAGCGGAUGAACUGAGGGUAGCGGAGAAAUUCCAAUCGAACCUGGAGAUAGCUGGUUCUCUCCGAAAUAGCUUUAGGGCUAGCCUCAAGUGAUGAUUAUUGGAGGUAGAGCACUGUUUGGACGAGGGGCCCCUCUCGGGUUACCGAAUUCAGACAAACUCCGAAUGCCAAUUAAUUUAACUUGGGAGUCAGAACAUGGGUGAUAAGGUCCGU
This 547-nucleotide ribosomal RNA is filed under the name Staphylococcus aureus. Its description in RNAcentral is "partial 23S ribosomal RNA". It matches the Rfam family "Bacterial large subunit ribosomal RNA", at positions 459 to 1008 of the family's 2925-position model. The record is from RNAcentral. Lineage: Bacteria; Bacillati; Bacillota; Bacilli; Caryophanales; Staphylococcaceae.